RNAcentral lists this ribosomal RNA (494 nucleotides) under bacterium. Its description in RNAcentral is "bacterial SSU rRNA". It matches the Rfam family "Bacterial small subunit ribosomal RNA", at positions 425 to 910 of the family's 1533-position model. The record is from RNAcentral.
GUAAAACUCUGUUAUUAGGGAAGAACAAAUGUGUAAGUAACUAUGCACGUCUUGACGGUACCUAAUCAGAAAGCCACGGCUAACUACGUGCCAGCAGCCGCGGUAAUACGUAGGUGGCAAGCGUUAUCCGGAAUUAUUGGGCGUAAAGCGCGCGUAGGCGGUUUUUUAAGUCUGAUGUGAAAGCCCACGGCUCAACCGUGGAGGGUCAUUGGAAACUGGAAAACUUGAGUGCAGAAGAGGAAAGUGGAAUUCCAUGUGUAGCGGUGAAAUGCGCAGAGAUAUGGAGGAACACCAGUGGCGAAGGCGACUUUCUGGUCUGUAACUGACGCUGAUGUGCGAAAGCGUGGGGAUCAAACAGGAUUAGAUACCCUGGUAGUCCACGCCGUAAACGAUGAGUGCUAAGUGUUAGGGGGUUUCCGCCCCUUAGUGCUGCAGCUAACGCAUUAAGCACUCCGCCUGGGGAGUACGACCGCAAGGUUGAAACUCAAAGGAAU